Molecule: long non-coding RNA, 438 nt
Organism: Alosa alosa (allis shad)
Lineage: Eukaryota; Metazoa; Chordata; Actinopteri; Clupeiformes; Clupeidae
Exons: 3
Source: RefSeq, a predicted model, not a curated record
GGGAAACGGAGCGGAGUGGAACCGCGAUUACAGAUGAGUGUUGGUGGCCAGUGUGCUGGCGUUCCGAAUGUUGAAGGGUUUGUGUACAGUCACCAGUAAUAAAAUCACGGAAGCGUCUCUGGGUUUAACGCCGAAUGGGCGUGUAACUAGAACGAAUCUCGAUAUCCGCUGGGAACUCUCUCUCACUCUCGCGGCCAGGUGCGUAUAACCAACAAAGCAUUGAGACGGUCCCCCUGCUCUGCGCGCUGAGAAUAUAAUAUCAAAUGUUUUUCAACAGACUGUGCUGGUGUUACAGGGUGUUUAUAUACUGUAAUUGCUGCCGUGUGCUUGGGCGGAUGGCCUAGCCAAAGUAGGUAUUUGUUAGCCUGAUUAUCUAAUUAACUGUUAGACUUUGGCCUUGCAAAGACUCCUCCUUAUUCUAUGUGUAGCCCGUUGUUA